RNAcentral lists this ribosomal RNA (254 nucleotides) under uncultured bacterium. Its description in RNAcentral is "partial 16S ribosomal RNA". It matches the Rfam family "Bacterial small subunit ribosomal RNA", at positions 1251 to 1500 of the family's 1533-position model. The record is from RNAcentral.
UACCGGGUGACCGGAUGCCGAUCUCGAAAACCUGUCCCAGUUCGGACUGGAGUCUGCAACCCGACUCCACGAAGUUGGAUUCGCUAGUAAUCGCGCAUCAGCCAUGGCGCGGUGAAUACGUUCCCGGGCCUUGUACACACCGCCCGUCACACCAUGGAAGUCUGCAAUGCCCGAAGCCGGUGGCCUAACCACUUAUGUGGAAGGAGCCGUCUAAGGCAGGGCAGAUGACUGGGGUGAAGUCGUAACAAGGUAGC